Molecule: transfer RNA, 75 nt
Filed under: Frankiaceae bacterium
Lineage: Bacteria; Bacillati; Actinomycetota; Actinomycetes; Frankiales; Frankiaceae
Description: tRNA-Leu
Rfam family: tRNA
About the family: Transfer RNA (tRNA) molecules are approximately 80 nucleotides in length. Their secondary structure includes four short double-helical elements and three loops (D, anti-codon, and T loops).
Source: RNAcentral
GCCCCCGUCGCUCAAUUGGCAGAAGCCGUGCGCUUAAACCGCAUGCCAGUGCGGGUUCGAGUCCCGCCGGGGGCA